AUGCAGUCGAGCGGUAACAGGGGUAGCUUGCUACCCGCUGACGAGCGGCGGACGGGUGAGUAAUGCUUAGGAAUCUGCCCAGUAGUGGGGGAUAGCCCGGGGAAACCCGGAUUAAUACCGCAUACGUCCUACGGGAGAAAGCAGGGGAUCUUCGGACCUUGCGCUAUUGGAUGAGCCUAAGUCGGAUUAGCUAGUUGGUGGGGUAAAGGCCUACCAAGGCGACGAUCCGUAGCUGGUCUGAGAGGAUGAUCAGCCACAUCUGGAUUGAGACACGGCCCGAACUCCUACGGGAGGCAGCAGUGGGGAAUAUUGGACAAUGGGGGCAACCCUGAUCCAGCCAUGCCGCGUGUGUGAAGAAGGCUUUCGGGUUGUAAAGCACUUUCAGUAGGGAGGAAAACCUUAUGGCUAAUACCCAUGAGGCUUGACGUUACCUACAGAAGAAGCACCGGCUAACUCCGUGCCAGCAGCCGCGGUAAUACGGAGGGUGCUAGCGUUAAUCGGAAUUACUGGGCGUAAAGCGCGCGUAGGUGGUUUGGUAAGCGAGAUGUGAAAGCCCCGGGCUUAACCUGGGAACGGUAUUUCGAACUGUCAGACUAGAGUGUGGUAGAGGGUAGUGGAAUUUCCUGUGUAGCGGUGAAAUGCGUAGAUAU
This 650-nucleotide ribosomal RNA is filed under the name Marinobacter nauticus. RNAcentral describes it as "bacterial SSU rRNA". It matches the Rfam family "Bacterial small subunit ribosomal RNA", at positions 55 to 697 of the family's 1533-position model. Lineage: Bacteria; Pseudomonadati; Pseudomonadota; Gammaproteobacteria; Pseudomonadales; Marinobacteraceae. The record is from RNAcentral.